CACCGCGGUUAUACGAGAGGCCCAAGUUGAUAGGCACGGCGUAAAGAGUGGUUAUGGACAAGAUACAACUAAAGCCGAAGACCCCCUAGGCUGUCAUACGCAGCUGGGGGCACGAAGCCCCACUACGAAAGUGGCUUUAUUUAAGACCACCCGACCCCACGACAGCCGAGAUA
Molecule: ribosomal RNA, 173 nt
Filed under: Bajacalifornia megalops (bigeye smooth-head)
Lineage: Eukaryota; Metazoa; Chordata; Actinopteri; Alepocephaliformes; Alepocephalidae
Description: partial 12S rRNA
Source: RNAcentral